This 235-nucleotide long non-coding RNA is filed under the name Capsicum annuum. Its description in RNAcentral is "long non-coding RNA (CANN_LNC012841)". Lineage: Eukaryota; Viridiplantae; Streptophyta; Magnoliopsida; Solanales; Solanaceae. The record is from RNAcentral.
CGCUAUGAUCACAUUGGUCCACUAAUUUAGGAAUUUGAACAUGAUCUAAACGUGUUUUGAAAAAUCCAAAACUUGUCCGAGAAUACCUAUUGGCCUUCUUGAUCAUGAACUAAUAAAAAUACGAACCAUUAAAGGAUGUUAAGGUGGAAAAAUAAGAUUGCCAACUUUCAAAAGCCAAUAAUAGCCUGAGUCUGGGAACCUAGCUAGAAUUUUCUAAGCCUGGGACACCUUGACA